This 496-nucleotide ribosomal RNA is filed under the name uncultured bacterium. Its description in RNAcentral is "partial 16S ribosomal RNA". It matches the Rfam family "Bacterial small subunit ribosomal RNA", at positions 28 to 506 of the family's 1533-position model. The record is from RNAcentral.
GAUGAACGCUGGCGGCGUGCCUAAUACAUGCAAGUCGAGCGAACAGACGAGGAGCUUGCUCCUCUGACGUUAGCGGCGGACGGGUGAGUAACACGUGGAUAACCUACCUAUAAGACUGGGAUAACUUCGGGAAACCGGAGCUAAUACCGGAUAAUAUAUUGAACCGCAUGGUUCAAUAGUGAAAGACGGUUUUGCUGUCACUUAUAGAUGGAUCCGCGCCGCAUUAGCUAGUUGGUAAGGUAACGGCUUACCAAGGCAACGAUGCGUAGCCGACCUGAGAGGGUGAUCGGCCACACUGGAACUGAGACACGGUCCAGACUCCUACGGGAGGCAGCAGUAGGGAAUCUUCCGCAAUGGGCGAAAGCCUGACGGAGCAACGCCGCGUGAGUGAUGACGGUCUUCGGAUCGUAAAACUCUGUUAUUAGGGAAGAACAAAUGUGUAAGUAACUAUGCACGUCUUGACGGUACCUAAGCAGAAAGCCACGGCUAACUACGU